GUUACUGUUCAUUUGCUUUUUCGUCGUCGUCGUCGUCGGUAUCACGUGCCAAAAGCGUGUCUUAUUCUACAUUGGUUUUCACGUGACUUUCGUCGUGUUCACUUGAUCCUUUUUUCCCGUUCGUUUAGCGCAUCGUGCGAUUUCAGAUUGUUAGGCCUGUUCUCUAACCCUAGGUCAGACUCAAGCAUUGAGCCGCCGCUUCUCAUCUUCUUCUCUUCCUUUUCUUCUCUAUUCUCUCUGUCCAUUCCUCUAGGGUUAGAUACACCUCUUCUUCUCAAACUCUCUCCGUUCCGUUUCUCUUCCUCUCUUUCUCUCCCCAGCUCUUACUCGUAUUUAUUCUGCAUUUCUUGACCUGGCUCUUGCAUUCUUUAUCUGGGCCUCUCAGCAGCCGAGCUUUUCGCACACUUCCGCUACUUUUCAAUCCGUCCUCAAAUUUCUCUCCAUGGCCCAUCAAUCACUUAUUUGCUCCUUGCAGGCAAGAAAACUCAUAUUGCUUUCUCGAUUUUCCAACAACUUCUCCAUUCUGCAGCUUUCAAAAUCCAAUCUGAAAUCUGCAAUUCACUUCUCGCUACUCUGUCUUCCGAGGGGGGAACCUAAAGGAUGCCCGCAAGGUGUUGGAUGAAAUGCUUCAUAGAGGCUUCGCUUUGACUACAGUUGGUUUCGGUGUGUUCGUAUGGCGGUUUUGCAGAAAUGCUCAAGUGGGACAGAUGUUGAAGUUGUUGGAUGAGGUUAUUCUCCUUCUCUCCUGCUUUGAGUUUUUUUUUUCUUUUCUCUUUUUUUUUUCCUUUUCUUUCACCAACACCGUCUUCUUCAUAUUGCGACGCCCAUUGCUCUCUCUCCCUCAGUGGGUGGUGGUGGAAUGGUGGCCGGCGGUGGGCGAAUGUUGACCACUAAUUAUUAACAUAACACUCUAAGAGCCAAAGGCGUUACUGUUCAUUUGCUUUUUCGUCGUCGUCGUCGUCGGUAUCACGUGCCAAAAGCGUGUCUUAUUCUACAUUGGUUUUCACGUGACUUUCGUCGUGUUCACUUGAUCCUUUUUUCCCGUUCGUUUAGCGCAUCGUGCGAUUUCAGAUUGUUAGGCCUGUUCUCUAACCCUAGGUCAGACUCAAGCAUUGAGCCGCCGCUUCUCAUCUUCUUCUCUUCCUUUUCUUCUCUAUUCUCUCUGUCCAUUCCUCUAGGGUUAGAUACACCUCUUCUUCUCAAACUCUCUCCGUUCCGUUUCUCUUCCUCUCUUUCUCUCCCCAGCUCUUACUCGUAUUUAUUCUGCAUUUCUUGACCUGGCUCUUGCAUUCUUUAUCUGGGCCUCUCAGCAGCCGAGCUUUUCGCACACUUCCGCUACUUUUCAAUCCGUCCUCAAAUUUCUCUCCAUGGCCCAUCAAUCACUUAUUUGCUCCUUGCAGGCAAGAAAACUCAUAUUGCUUUCUCGAUUUUCCAACAACUUCUCCAUUCUGCAGCUUUCAAAAUCCAAUCUGAAAUCUGCAAUUCACUUCUCGCUACUCUGUCUUCCGAGGGGGGAACCUAAAGGAUGCCCGCAAGGUGUUGGAUGAAAUGCUUCAUAGAGGCUUCGCUUUGACUACAGUUGGUUUCGGUGUGUUCGUAUGGCGGUUUUGCAGAAAUGCUCAAGUGGGACAGAUGUUGAAGUUGUUGGAUGAGGAAAGAAAAUAGGAAGAAGAUGAGAAUAUUACUAAGAGAAUCAAUAGGAGGAGCAGUGGUUCUCCUCUUGCACACGAAGAAGCUAGAGUAUUGGGAUGGUGUAAUACUGGUGGCUCCAAUGUGUUUGUUUAUCCAUAUUGGCAGCAAAGAAGUUUUCUUGCUGCAGUAUCCUUGGAGUUGAUAUUGAUCGUGACUAUCUAAUCCCCUACAUCUCCACAACAUUCUUGAAGACAAAUGAUUCAGCAAGUCUCAGCUCAUGCUUUUACAUGCAUCUUAUCGUUUUACAAAUGAAGCAUCAUAUCUAGCUCUAGCUCUGUGUAUCCUCAGGUAAGACCUGUUCUGGCUUGUUUCUUUGAUUUGUGAGUCCUUUUAUGGUAAGGAAUCUACAGUUACAGGUCUGUCUUGAUUUUGGGUUGGCAAUUCCAAAACUUAGUUCCCAUGGGAUGAUAUCUUCAGUAAAAGAACUCUUGGAUCUUGCUCCAGCAUGGAAGAUAUAUCAGCAUCAGCACAAUAAACAAAUGAGCACUCCUGCGAUGGCUCAGUUGCUGUUGAACACCUUUUACUACAAGCGCUUCUUUGCUUACUAUGCUUUUAUGUUCUGGGGGAGCUUGAUGGUCAAGGGAAGGGGUGUGUCUUCACAUGUGACGCCGUUGGAUUCUAUGAAAUGGUUGGAUAUAGUUAACAAGGUUUUGGUUCUACCUUGACGAUGCCUUUCUUGGAUAACCAGCUAAAGUCUCCUAGCCCUCACUUAUUACUUGCCAAGUAUGUUGUUACGACCUGGUAAAGACAUGUUUUACUUCUGCAACAGAAAGAGAUAUCUACACCGGUGACAAGCUGGAAAUUUUUGUCUUGAAUGCUGAGGGAACUCGAUGUGAAUGUAUGGAACUGAGGAAGGAUUGACGUGUUGUUGUAGUAUGCUGGAUCUAUGGGUUGCCACAAGUGUGGAAUGCUCCUAGCAUAAUUCGAGAGCUUUAAUUUGGAUGUUGGCUUGGGCUGUGUUCCAUGGUUCUUAGUUAUCAACCCUUGGAUUUGGAUUCUAUGAAGAUAGACGCGGAGCAUGAAGCUGAUAUUUUGUUACCCAUUUCCGAGUUUUAUUUUCUUUGUUAAAUUUUUAUACAUCUAUGUUUGUCUUUAAACUAUGGCAUACCGAAUACCCACUUUGCUAUUCAGUUGCAAAAAGCACAUGGCUAAUGAUAACUUUAUAAGCCUUCUUGAAUUAUGAUUAUAUAUGAAUUAGACUCCUCUUGACAUUUAUACAUUUAAA
Molecule: RNA transcript, 2917 nt
Organism: Coffea eugenioides
Lineage: Eukaryota; Viridiplantae; Streptophyta; Magnoliopsida; Gentianales; Rubiaceae
Gene name: proteasome subunit beta type-1-like
Exons: 7
Source: RefSeq, a predicted model, not a curated record